Molecule: small nuclear RNA, 101 nt
Organism: Carlito syrichta (Philippine tarsier)
Lineage: Eukaryota; Metazoa; Chordata; Mammalia; Primates; Tarsiidae
Source: Ensembl
GUCUCACUUUUGGGCAGGAUAUAUACUAAAUUGAAACAGAAAGAUUAACAUGGCCUCUGUUCAUGAAUGACACACAAACUUGUAAAGCGUUUCAUAUUUUU